AUCAAAUUCCUGGUCAGUGUGUGAAGGUAGAGGACACUGAUCACGCAAGGUGCAAAUGAACACAUAAACAGAACUUGAUGUAAUGGGAGACUGGACCGCAGAGAAAUGGAGCAAACAGCGCUGUGUGUAUGCUCAGUCUGUGGAGCCUGUUGGCAGGGGCAAGCGGGGUGGAAUUCUGCCAGUACCCACUGGCUGGGCCUGCCCCAAGCCUGGCCUUUUUCUAAAGCACACAGAGCUUUAAAAAGUUCAACUGAAUUUAUUCAAGCUAAUUCAACCAGCAUUUCACCAUUAGAGGCACCUACCUGGUGA
This 309-nucleotide long non-coding RNA is filed under the name Capra hircus (goat). RNAcentral's name for it is "lncRNA (ENSCHIG00000003651.1)". Lineage: Eukaryota; Metazoa; Chordata; Mammalia; Artiodactyla; Bovidae. The record is from RNAcentral.